Molecule: ribosomal RNA, 279 nt
Filed under: uncultured bacterium
Lineage: Bacteria
Description: partial 16S ribosomal RNA
Rfam family: Bacterial small subunit ribosomal RNA
Source: RNAcentral
UGCCAGCAGCCGCGGUAAUACGGAGGGGGCUAGCGUUGUUCGGAAUUACUGGGCGUAAAGGGCGUGUAGGCGGUCUAUCGAGUCAGGCGUGAAAGCCCAGGGCUUAACCUUGGAACUGCAUUUGAUACUGGUAAUCUUGAGUACAGUAGAGGGAGGUGGAAUUUCAGGUGUAGCGGUGAAAUGCGUAGAUAUCUGAAGGAACAUCAGUGGCGAAGGCGACCUUCUGGACUGAUACUGACACUGAGGUGCGAAAGCGUGGGGAACAAACAGGAUUAGAUA